RNAcentral lists this ribosomal RNA (253 nucleotides) under uncultured bacterium. RNAcentral describes it as "partial 16S ribosomal RNA". It matches the Rfam family "Bacterial small subunit ribosomal RNA", at positions 524 to 776 of the family's 1533-position model. The record is from RNAcentral.
UACGUAGGGUGCGAGCGUUGUCCGGAAUUAUUGGGCGUAAAGAGCUCGUAGGCGGUUUGUCGCGUCGGCCGUGAAAACUUGGGGCUUAACUCCAAGCUUGCGGUCGAUACGGGCAGACUUGAGUUCGGCAGGGGAGACUGGAAUUCCUGGUGUAGCGGUGAAAUGCGCAGAUAUCAGGAAGAACACCCGUGGCGAAGGCGGCUCUCUGGGACGGUACUGACGCUGAGACGCGAAAGCGUGGGGAGCGAACAGG